GACGAACGCUGGCGGCGUGCUUAACACAUGCAAGUCGAGCGGAAAGGCCCUUCGGGGUACUCGAGCGGCGAACGGGUGAGUAACACGUGAGUAACCUGCCCCAGACUUUGGGAUAACCCUCGGAAACGGGGGCUAAUACCGGAUACGACACAGCUUCGCCUUGGGUCUGUGUGGAAAGUUUUUCGGUUUGGGAUGGGCUCGGGGACUAUCAGCUCGAUGGUGGGGUGAUGGCCUACCAAGGCGACGACGGGUAGCCGGCCUGAGAGGGCGACCGGCCACACUGGGACUGCGACACGGCCCGGACUCCGACGGGAGGCAGCGGUGGGGACUAUUGCACAAUGGGCCGAGGCCUGAGGCAGCGACGCCGCGUGAGGGAAGACGGCCUUCGGGUGGGAAACCUCUUUCAGCAGGGACGAAGCGUAAGGGACGGGACCUGCAGAAGAAGCGCCGGCCAACUACGA
RNAcentral lists this ribosomal RNA (461 nucleotides) under uncultured bacterium. Its description in RNAcentral is "partial 16S ribosomal RNA". It matches the Rfam family "Bacterial small subunit ribosomal RNA", at positions 28 to 506 of the family's 1533-position model. The record is from RNAcentral.